RNAcentral lists this ribosomal RNA (490 nucleotides) under uncultured bacterium. RNAcentral's name for it is "partial 16S ribosomal RNA". It matches the Rfam family "Bacterial small subunit ribosomal RNA", at positions 30 to 507 of the family's 1533-position model. The record is from RNAcentral.
AUUGAACGCUGGCGGCAGGCCUAACACAUGCAAGACGAACGGUAACAGGAAGCAGCUUGCUGCUUUGCUGACGAGUGGCGGACGGGUGAGUAAUGUCUGGGAAACUGCCUGAUGGAGGGGGAUAACUACUGGAAACGGUAGCUAAUACCGCAUAACGUCGCAAGACCAAAGAGGGGGACCUUCGGGCCUCUUGCCAUCGGAUGUGCCCAGAUGGGAUUAGCUAGUAGGUGGGGUAACGGCUCACCUAGGCGACGAUCCCUAGCUGGUCUGAGAGGAUGACCAGCCACACUGGAACUGAGACACGGUCCAGACUCCUACGGGAGGCAGCAGUGGGGAAUAUUGCACAAUGGGCGCAAGCCUGAUGCAGCCAUGCCGCGUGUAUGAAGAAGGCCUUCGGGUUGUAAAGUACUUUCAGCGGGGAGGAAGGGAGUAAAGUUAAUACCUUUGCUCAUUGACGUUACCCGCAGAAGAAGCACCGGCUAACUCCGUG